RNAcentral lists this ribosomal RNA (513 nucleotides) under uncultured eukaryote. RNAcentral describes it as "eukaryotic LSU rRNA". It matches the Rfam family "Eukaryotic large subunit ribosomal RNA", at positions 668 to 1181 of the family's 3401-position model. The record is from RNAcentral.
AAGGAGUCUAACGCGCGCGCGAGCGAGAGGGCGAGAGGCCCAUCCGCGCAACGAAAGCGAAUGGCGGGACGCUCUCCCGCAGGGGGGCGGCGCCGCCGGCCGGACGUCCUCGAGGCGGACCGAGCCGGAGCGCUCGCGUCGGGACCCGAAAGGUGGUGAUCUAUCCGUGCGCGCGGCGAAGCCGGGGGAAACCCCGGUGGAGGCCCGUCGACGGUACUGACGUGCAAAUCGUUCGUCCGACGUGCGAAUAGGGGCGAAAGACCAAUCGAACCUCCUAGUAGCUGGUUUCCGCCGAAAUUUCCCUCAGGAUAGCGGCCAUCGCGGAAACGUUUUGACCGGUAGAGCGAACGACUAGAGGUACCGGGGCCGUAACGGCCUCGACCUAUUCUCGAACUCCGAACGGGCAAGGAGCCGGGGUCGCCCGAUCGGACCCCGGACGUGAAGUCGACGAUGGUCGGUGGGCUGGUUUUGGUAAGCAGAACGGGCGAUUCGGGAUGAACCGGAAGCGGGGAG